RNAcentral lists this long non-coding RNA (1110 nucleotides) under Vulpes vulpes (red fox). RNAcentral describes it as "lncRNA (ENSVVUG00000009213.1)". The record is from RNAcentral. Lineage: Eukaryota; Metazoa; Chordata; Mammalia; Carnivora; Canidae.
GGAUGCGAGGGAGGAGGAGACAGCCUUGCACAGUCCUCAGCGAGCCCCUCAGUUGUACGAGUGUCAGGCUACCUUUCUUCUUCACUUGUAUGAACCAAGCCAGUGCCCAUUCCCUAGGGGUGCACCGCUGAACACCGGAGCUCGACGAGUACCGCCUGGAACUGCCCUGNGCCGUCCUCCUGGGGGAGGGGGCUGGCUUGGGGCCCGUGGGAAACACUGCGGACAUCUGUGGUUGCCCGGCCUCUAGUGGGUGGAGGCCACGUUUGUUGCUAACCCUUGUACACCGCGGGGCAGCCCCUCAUACAACCUUACCCGUCGGCAGCAGCACGGGCAGUGAGAAGCCCGGGGUUUCUGCGGGGAGGCAAGUCCAAAGGGCCCCUCACUUUCCAGGGUCUGGCAGGCACCCAGCCGUCUGCCUACUUCCCUCACUGGCAUUUAGAAGGAGACCUCACCUUACCUCAGGCGGCCUCCGGUGCUCUCGGCGGGCCAGGGAUCCUCCUGCGCAGGCGCGGGCACAAGGACAGAGCCAGCGCGGGAGCUCAGCGUGCGGGGCCUGCUGGGAGCACAGCGCGCGGGGCCUGCUGGGGGCACAUCCCGUGGGGCCUGCUGGGAGCACAGCGCGCGGGGCCUGCUGGGAGCACAGCUUGGUACCCGGUGGCCCGGAGUUCCGCGCUCGGAGGUGCCGGGAGCAUAAUCCUUCACAUGCCCAAUCAAGUCUGUCUUCCUAGAGGCAAAAGGGCAAAGAAAACCCGAGGGAGGAAGUACCUAGGAUCUGGGAUCCGAGCAGGAGGUGGCACAAAGGUGCACGGGAGAAGCGGGGAGGGCCUCGUAGGCCGCGGCGGUGCACGCGCUUGCUCGGGGCCCGCCGCACAGCCCUGGGGCUGGCUCUGCACCGCGACGAACCUUUCGCCGGUCUGCGGUAUUGUCGCUAGUGGGAGAGUCUGCGUUGUGUGGCUGGAGGUCUCCGUUCCUGGAUGCCCCACGAAAGAGUUACGUGAUGCCCACGCUCAGCUGAAGACAGCCAGAAUCUCCUGACAGGGAGCCUGCUUCUCUUCUGCCUAUAUCUCUGCCUCUCUCUGUGCGUCUCUUAUGAAUAAAUAAAUUAAAAUC